This is a long non-coding RNA of Chinchilla lanigera (long-tailed chinchilla), 2068 nucleotides long. RefSeq lists it as uncharacterized. NCBI's taxonomy places the organism in Eukaryota, Metazoa, Chordata, Mammalia, Rodentia, Chinchillidae. The transcript is spliced from 3 exons. The record is from RefSeq and is a predicted model, not a curated record.
GCAUGACUCAUGACUGAGGUUCAGUACUUUGUGGGCUCGGAACGGGUCAGGUGCUUCCUGCUUCCACACUGCAUGGUGGGCUAAAACGGUUGCAUUCACCAAAACCACCCCCUUUCCAUUUUCAGCAGGAGUCUAGCAGGACAGUCUGAAAAUUGACAGGAGACCAUUGCUAACUGGACCGGAGAACCCUGCCUUUUGAAGACUCUGCAAUAAACUUUGUUCUGGGAACUGGAGGAGGUGUCAGUGAACAAAGCGACCAUAUUUUCUUUUUGGAACCAUUGCUUCCUAACCAGAUGCUUUGAAAGUUGCUGUACCAGCUUCGCUCGCUCAGUUUUUCCCACCAGGAUUGUUGAUCCGCUGACCACGAAAAUAAGAGUACAAUAGUUUCAAGGUUUCUUUUACUGUGGACGGUACAGAUGUCCCAUGAGAAGAAAGCAAGGCCAGAACUGGGCAGUCCAAGCUAUUUUAUUCCUGUUCUUUAUUAGUCUUUUCCUCCCUCUUGCGCCAGCUUCCCCUGAUCUUUUUAAUCCUUACCAACUAUUGCCUUUCUGUUCUCUUUCCUCUUUGCAGAUUUAGGUUUGGAAGGCAUAAGACUGUGAUUUAGAGUGAUCCUUCCGCUGCGCUGGAGAAGCGAACCUCGAUGUGGUCCAGACCCAGUCUUGGCUGGGUCCCCAUUGCAGAUGUCACUGCUGUUGAAAUAUCUCAACUGCUGCACUGGCAAAUAUGGAGUGAGAAGGAGGUUUCAGAAUUGAAACAAAAGUGACAUCCCGUCUCCAUAUGUGACACUGAGAAAGUUCUGGAGUCUUCCUAAGCUUUCAUUUCCUCAACUGUGCACUAGCAGUAGUGUCCACCUCUGUGCAGCAGAUGGCAUUGCUAAGAGGACUAGCAGCAGCCAUCCAGGGAGAGCUUUUCAUGGUGCAGGCUGACUCCUGCUUGACCUGCAUAUUUCAGCUCAAACACGAUUUCUUCCUGGAAGCCUCUCGGAAUCCACAGGCCCAUGUGGUCUCGGAUCCAUUUCAGUGUCUUCCUAGACUCCCUCAGCAAGGAUGUGACUACACCUAUGUGACUACACCCCCCAAGUUCUGAGCUACCUCCCCGGAACAGCCCUGGGUGAACCCCACCCCUGCCCUUCCAACCCCUCAGCCCCGCCUUGGAAGAGGCUGCGCUCGCAUUCGGAGCAGCCUUCACCCGCCCAGUAGCUCCCACCCACCCCGACAUGAGCAGAGUCGCUAGACUGCACAGCACAGGGGGCCAGUUAAAUUUGAAUUUCCAAUAAAUAAUGUCUAGUUUUUGAAAUAUGAAUACAUCCCAUGCAAUAUUUGGACAAUCCUUAUACUAAGGGCAAGGACUGUGUCUCUAUUCAUCAUUUUAAUCCUGGAGUACACCUCAGUUUGGUACCUGAUAUUCAAUCAGUAUUUGUUAAUAUUGAACUGAUAAAUAGUGAAUAAAGCAGACAAAUCUGACUAAAUGUCUCAAACAUUUCCCUGGAAAAACAAAUCAUGACUGGUUGGCCAUGGAUACCCCAGCCAAAGGAAUAUGAUUAUAGGACUUUUGUUUCAAUUUACUUCAAAUGCUUUGGGGUGCAUAUUCUAUGUGAAUGUAUUUGUGCUAUUUAUACUUCUUAUUUUGGAAAAAUUUAAUUUUCUGAUCUGAACUCUGUGACCUUUCAGUAGUAUAACCUUGGUGUCUUACACAAUAAAUAAAUCAUAAAAGCCCAGGGAAUUGCUCCUACUUGCCAAAAGCUUUUACCUUACCUACAUUUCAUCUGCUCUUUCAAGCUCUGGCCCUGCAAGAACCCAAACUACGCUUGUCCUGGACAGGUAUUUACAGCUAACCAGGGUGACCUAAAGUUCCUAGUCCAACCCUUCUCUCUCUCCCUAGCCCUCCUGCGUAGGCUCACAGUCACGUGUCACUUAACAAACAAUAGGGAUAUGUUCUGAGAAAUGCACCUUAGGGCAAGUUUUUUGUGUGCACAUCGUACAGAGUGUUUAACCCAGAUGGUAUAACCUACCAUAUAGCUUCAUAGUCCUUCAUUUUAUUUUCACUUGCAGGUCAAUCACUCACUAUG